UCUUUCUUUCGAUUCCCUUACAAGCUGGAGAAAACAAAGACACGUUAACAUGAAGAAGUAACUGUUUUGGUUCGAUCUGCCGAGCAAUCGAACCAGAAUUUGUUACUGCACGUUCCGAAGCGGCCAUCUGCUUGGGAAGGUUGCCUCUGUCACUUAAAUCGCAAGCUGUUAGUAAUCAAGGAGCUUUGGUGGAAAGCUGAAUCAUCGAGUCCAGCUUAAAACUAACGCAGAGGCUGGAGGAUGACUGCACCUACUGAAUUACAAACCGGUCCGAUGAUGGAGAAUAAGUUUGGGAAAACAGGC
This is a non-coding RNA of Pocillopora verrucosa, 303 nucleotides long. Lineage: Eukaryota; Metazoa; Cnidaria; Anthozoa; Scleractinia; Pocilloporidae. The record is from RefSeq and is a predicted model, not a curated record.